GUUAUAUCAGACAAAACAUCUUAGUAAAAAUUUAGGGCAUUUUAAUAAUAAGCCAACAGUUUUUGAGACUGUAGAGAUUUUGAGUAGAAUUUUUUUUAUGAGGUGGCUUUUUAAAAAAUAAUUGAAAAUGGGAAAAUGACCCAUAAAGUGAAUUCACCUAGAAUAUCCAUUUAAAUGUUCAGACUUGUGGCUGAGCGCGGUGGCUCACACCUGUAAUCCCAGCACUUUGGGAGGCCAAGGCAGGCGGAUCACCUGAGGUCAGGAGUUCGAGACCAGUCUGGCCAACAUGGCAAAACCUUGUCUCCACUAAAAAUACAAAAAUUAGCCGGGUGUGGUGGCACAUGCCUGUAAUCCCAGCCACUUGGGAGGCUGAGGCACGAGAAUCACUUGAACCUUGGAGGCAGAGCUUGCAGUGAGCCAAAAUUGUGCCACUUGCACUCCAGCCUGGGUGACAGAGGGAGACCCUGUCUCAAAAAAAUAAGUAAAAUAAAAUGUUCAGACUUAUAAACUAGACAGGUAGUCAGCAUAAUUCAUAGUAAUGCCUUGACAUUAGGCGCCCCAAAGGACUCCUUUGUUCUUUGUUCCAAAUGUCUGUGCUAACUGCCCAUUUUGAGGAGAGAAGUCUGCAGGUAUAGUUAGUGCUGCUGAGACAUUUCCACUCUGGCAUUCUAGAGUUCUCUGGCUUGCCCUUGUUGCUUUAAAGCUGGUUCCAACUUCGUGGGCUUUAUGAUUGAGCAACACUGGUGAUUGUGAUUUCUAAUACCACCCUCCAGAUUCAUGUCACAGGUGAAAGUCUGCCUGUGGGGAGAGCUUUCACAUUCUCCUGGAGUUGAACCAAAAUAAGGAAAACAUCAACAAACACAGUUACCAAAAGCUUCCAAGGAGGGAUGGAGGAGAAAUUCUGUUCAUUGCAGAUGGGGAGAAAUUAAAUGACAUCAAGUGCAUAAUGGAACUGGGUAGGAUUCAAACUCAAGUCCCCUGGUUCAAGUCCUUGACUCCACUCUGGGCAUGGCUAAGUCUGGCCUGUGUCUCAUCUUCUCAGCUCUAGUGGCUGUUUAGUAGUGAAGAUACUGAUAUGCAGGCAGCCAUGUUGUAAAUAAGAAGCAAAUAUUUUUAUAUUUCUCUCUCUUAUGUGUAUAAUAUUUGAGCUACAAACAGGUUAAAACAAAAGAGAGACUUCAGCUUAGUAGCAGGCAGGGAAGGAAGAAGUGAAUGCAGCUUCCUUCCGCUUACAUUUCUAAUCAAGCUAAUUAUUUCACUAGUGAUUUCUCAUUUGAUUACCGAUUUUGCUUAUUUAUGCUUAGAACUUUCAAUGACUUCUCAGUGCCAUUAAGGUAAAAUGCAAGCCAUUUCUGUGACCUGCAAUAUCAUCUUUUGCCACUCCUCCUCACUUGCUAUGUCUUAGCAAGACUGAGAGGCUCUCAGUUCUUCAGACCUGCUCUAUCUCACCUCUCAUUUUGUUCAUAUUCUCCACCUCUUGUGCUUGAUGAACUCCUAUUCACCUAUCAGGUCACAACUUAAAUAUUUUUUCCUCCAAAUCUCUGGACUACAUAGGUCCAGGCCCCCAUCAAAUGCUCCCAUAGCACAUUGGGCUUCCUCAUCAACAUGCUCGUUAUACUUUUCUAGAAUUGCUGGCUUGUCCUCCUUGUUAUCUCCCUAAUGCAGAGACCAUUACUCAUCAUUGUAGCAGAUAUUUAUCCAUAUCAGGUACUCAGCAAACAUUUGUGGAAUGAAUCUAUAUGUGAAACUAUACUUCUAUGGCAAGUUUGUUUGGUUCAGAAGGCUUGCAUUUCAUGUAUAUUGGGAGACUGGCCAACAUUUUUAUAUUCUUCCUCCUAUGCUCAAACCAUAAAUAAUUAUGUUAGCAAACACUGAACUUUGUCUUUUGAAACAUAAAUAGAAACAUCCUUAGUAACAGUACUAACAGUAAUCAUUUUUCAGAAAUAAGAAUUCACACCAGUGAUACAGAAUGGCCUUUGACCAUUAUCUCAGAGAACUAGCAGUCGAUAGACAUGCUGAAGUGAUAAUUCCAAAAACUUCAGUUUCAUUCAUCCCUACUUAAAUAUAAGAGAAUCAACUUCUAUUUUAUGUCUGUAUUCCCAUUUUCUAAUAUACUACUUGUCACAGAGGAGAUGCCCAACCAGUGUUUUUCGUAAAGUACCUGAAUAGAUUAAUAAUAAUGCUAGUGAAAUAUAUUUAGUGCUGUUCUAAGCACUUUACAUGAAUUAACUCAUUUAAUCCUCACCGCAACCAUAGGAAGUAGAUUCUAUUAUUUAUCCAAUUUUACAGAUGAAAAAACUGAGGCUGGUCACUUGACAUAAAUUACCAGUGCUGGCCAGGACUUUAGAGACCAUUUAAUCCAAUGCUCUUAUUUUACAGAGGUGCAGCUGAAGCCUAAGGAGGUGAUAUGAUUUCCUACACAUUCAUGCACCUUCGUGCACAUCCAUUAAAACUUUUAUUAAAUGGAACCCACUAUCCAUACUCCAAUUAGCUAGGUGCCUUUUUUCCCCCAUUUAGUAAUUUACAAUUAAUUGGAGGACUUUUUAUAGUUAUAUUUAGAGGAAAGGAGCAUGUUUUACUCUAUAUCAACUUUCUUUUCUGCUUAAAAGCAUUUUGAUUCUUUAUUUUACCAGUCAUUUUAGUUCUUUUAAUAGGUUUAAUACACAGAUCAAACAAGACUUAAAUACAUUUUUAACAAUGUAACAAUUUAAAAGAAAUUGCCUAAAACCUAGGUCUUCUAACUUGGAGCCCAGUGCUUUUUUUAUUGCUCCGCUGAGUCAAAAGGUGAAUAUAUAAACAUGAUUUCAGAUAGAAUGCAGAAGCUGUAUUUAAUUAAGUUGGCUUUUGUCAUUAAAGAAAUCAGAAAGUUUGGACAACUCAGGAAUGGAUUUCCAUCCUAGAUGGUAUUUACUACUAUUUCUGGAAUUAAGUUUACUGUCUAUAUUCAGGAUUUUGUGCAUAAGAGACGUGACCACUGAGGUUGUGUGUCAUUCUUAUCUCUACUCCAGGGGUCAGCAAACUUUCUCUGUUAAGGGUCAGAUAGUAGUUUUUUGGCUUUUCAGUCUCUGUUUGGCUCUGCUAUAAACAAUACAUAAAUGAAUGAGCAUGGCUAUGUUCCAAUAAAACUUAAUUGACACUGAACUUUGAAUUUCAUGUACUUUUCAAAUGUCACAAAUGUUUUCCUUUUGAUUUUUUUCAGAAAGCCAUUAAAAAAAUCCAAAGACCAUUCUUAGCUUGCAGGCUGCACAAAAACAGGAAGCAGGCGGGGUUUGCUUAUGGACUGUGGCUUUCCCACCCUUGUUCUUAGAUAGGGACACACCAAUAUAUCAUGAUUAGUUGUAAAGGAUACUGCCAGUAACAUAUUAUUACUGGUUAGUUGUAAGAAUAUCAAAGUUAGUGAAUAAUUUGCUUUUAAAAUAAAUUAUUGUUGAUUUAUUUUUAUAAAUAAAUGGCACAGGGCAUCUCAUGCUCUUGCAUUCUAAUAUAUUUUCUGGAAUUGAUGCAAAAGUGGUGGCAGUAAAGUACAGAGCCGGCUAAGCAGCAGUUUUGUCUUAAGUAACUGUGGUGAUCAUGGACAACCAUUGCGCUGAACUGCUCUUCAUGGUAAGGAUUUCAGUGUUUCAGAGUAAUUCAUUAACCUAGAGAUGUUUUAAAAAGUUGUAUCGGCCGGGCGCGGUGGCUCAAGCCUGUAAUCCCAGCACUUCGGGAGGCCGAGGUGGGCGGAUCACGAGAUCAGGAGAUCGAGACCAUCCUGGCUGACACGGUGAAACCCCAUCUCUACUAAAAAUACAAAAAAAAUUAGCUGGGCGUGGUGGCGGGAGCCUGUAGUCCCAGCUACUCAGGAGGCUGAGGCAAGAGAAUGGCGUGAACCCGGGAGGUGGAGCUUUCAAUGAGCCGAGAUUGCCCCUCUGCACUCCAGCCUGGGUAACAGAGCAAGACUCCGUCUAAAAAAUAAAUAAAUAAAAUAAAAUAAAAUAAAAUAAAAGUUGUAUCAAAAUCUGCUGCACCAUGGGAGUGUUUUACACAUGUGAUGUGGCAUCUACCUUAUGUACCAUAAUGGAAAAAUGUUUGAGAACCACUGCACUAGGCCAAAGGCUGGGAUGUGUAUACUUUGCUGCCGUGUAUAAUUGUAUGUCCUUGUUCUCUAAACGGAAUUGGUUAUGUUUAGUGAACAGUUAGGUGGUUCUCCAUGUGUUUAUAUACACAGACGAUCCCCGAAUUUGGAUGGUUCAACUUAAGAGUUUUCAAACUUACGAUGAUAUGAAAGUGAUAUACAUUUGAUACAUUCCUACAACUUACAAUGGGGUUAUGUCCCAUAAUUGUUUUGACUUAUGAUAUUUUCAACUUACAAUUGAUGGGUUUACUGAGACAUAACCCUCUUGUAACUUGAGGAGCAUGUGUAUAUUUGUACAUACAUGAUGGUGUGUGUUUAUACACAAAGGCCUGAAUAUACACACCAUGAGCAUUUGAAGGUCUUUGUCAAGGUUGUUUCUGUUUCUGAUCUCUUGCCUACUUUAAAACCCAAGAGGUAGAACAUUAUGCAUAUUACAGGCAAAACUAUGCUUGAGUUUAUAGCAAUGUAGUUUGUAGAAAGGAUUCCUGGAUGUUUUACUAAGCCUUUCCUCCUCCAUUCAACAUUAUAUGAAUUGUUAAGAACAUAUAAAGUACCACUGUUGAAUGUGACUUUUCUAUACUGUUAGUUAAGAAACCAAGACUAGUGUUAGCUGAGUAACUGGCAUGUUGAUGCAACCUAUACAGGUUUUGUAUUUAAUUAGGUUCCUUAUUCAGUUAUUCAAGUAUCCAGUUAUUUAGUUUCAAGGUAGAUUUCUUUGUUUUUAUAUUUAAUAAAAGACUUGCAUAUAAGUUCCUCUUCAUGAAAAUAGUGGCUAGGCUAGUGUGAUUUUAAGUAUGUCUGGCAACUCAAAAUGUAAUGGAUUCAUCAAGCUAUUUGGGAUUUUUAACAUAAAACACACUGCUGCUUGAUUAAUGUGUUCAGUUUUCCCCUGGAUAUUUGCUAUUAGGCUGAUAGCCAUUUGGUUGGAUUCUUCUGGAGAGUAAUUGAUUCUCUAAGGUAAUGGGGUGCUGCAGUGGGUGUAGCAUUCACCCAGGUCACUAGAAUCCUACCUGUUUCAUCACAUAGAAGGCCCUGGCCAUGGGGAAGAGUGAAUGCAGCUUCUCCGGAUGCCUUAUUUCCACAGACAUGCUGAUAUGCUGGAACAAUCUGGCUCCAGGAGUAUUAAUAUACUUUUUUGAGACUGUCUACAAAAUACUAUUUUGUAAAAACUAUGCCUUUACAUAGACAUUGAUAGGUUAUAUUUGUUUUAUAACAAUUGUGUACCUAAUGUUUGUGAUUAAUUUUGAGAUUUAUGUAUAUUUAUAAGCCUAUCUUAUGUAAAUUUUUACUCUAAGAUGUGUGGCACAUUACUAAUAAAGACGUGGAUUUCUAUUUAUGUAAAGUAAUUGUAGCAAUAUUCCUAGAUGCUACCUAAAUGAUUGUUCUGUCCAUUUGCCAUCACAAAUACUUUUAUCUUUGGAUGAUUAUGUUAGUCAGAAUAUAUUAAUUAGAUUUAAACUUUAAAAUAAGAAUUACAACAUAGUUUGAAAUUCUUCCUGUUGAUGUAAUUAAAGUUAGUUUAUAAUUCCUUA
Molecule: long non-coding RNA, 5646 nt
Filed under: Homo sapiens (human)
Lineage: Eukaryota; Metazoa; Chordata; Mammalia; Primates; Hominidae
Description: non-protein coding lnc-FRRS1L-1:1
Source: RNAcentral